CGGGGUGGAGCAGCCCGGUAGCUCGUCAGGCUCAUAACCUGAAGGUCGUAGGUUCAAAUCCUACCCCCGCAACCA
This 75-nucleotide transfer RNA is filed under the name Alphaproteobacteria bacterium MarineAlpha3_Bin5. Its description in RNAcentral is "tRNA-Met". It matches the Rfam family "tRNA". Rfam says of the family: Transfer RNA (tRNA) molecules are approximately 80 nucleotides in length. RNAcentral also lists the same sequence under 1 other name. The record is from RNAcentral. Lineage: Bacteria; Pseudomonadati; Pseudomonadota; Alphaproteobacteria.